CCCCUCCAGUUUUCUUACCCUUAAAUCUAAUCGUGGGUUGAGUGGUUGCAAAAGGGAGAAAUGUAAUAUAGCAACUGACUUCCAUGCUUUUGUAGCUCACGGGCUAGUUUCAAAACAAA
This is a small nucleolar RNA of Echinops telfairi (small Madagascar hedgehog), 119 nucleotides long. The record is from Ensembl. Lineage: Eukaryota; Metazoa; Chordata; Mammalia; Afrosoricida; Tenrecidae.